Candida albicans SC5314 is the source of this 64-nucleotide small nucleolar RNA. The record is from RefSeq and is a predicted model, not a curated record. NCBI's taxonomy places the organism in Eukaryota, Fungi, Ascomycota, Pichiomycetes, Serinales, Debaryomycetaceae.
CUCCUACUUCUGCCCCACAUUCAGACUUCUAUUGAAUAAUGGGUUCUGGUGAAGGAGCAAAGUA